AGAGUUUGAUCCUGGCUCAGGAUGAACGCUAGCGGCAGGCCUAAUACAUGCAAGUCGAACGAUACUUUCCAGCUUGCUGGAGAGGAAAGUGGCGCACGGGUGCGUAACGCGUAUGCAACCUACCUUCAUCAGGGGGAUAGCCCGGAGAAAUCCGGAUUAAUACCGCAUAAAAUCACAGGAUGGCAUUAUCCAAUGAUCAAACAUUUAUGGGAUGGAGAUGGGCAUGCGUGUCAUUAGCUAGUUGGCGGGGUAACGGCCCACCAAGGCGACGAUGACUAGGGGAUCUGAGAGGAUGGCCCCCCACACUGGUACUGAGACACGGACCAGACUCCUACGGGAGGCAGCAGUAAGGAAUAUUGGUCAAUGGAGGCAACUCUGAACCAGCCAUGCCGCGUGCAGGAAGACUGCCCUAUGGGUUGUAAACUGCUUUUAUCCGGGAAUAAACCUAAAUACGUGUAUUUAGCUGAAUGUACCGGAAGAAUAAGGAUCGGCUAACUCCGUGCCAGCAGCCGCGGUAAUACGGAGGAUCCAAGCGUUAUCCGGAUUUAUUGGGUUUAAAGGGUGCGUAGGCGGCCUGUUAAGUCAGGGGUGAAAGACGGUAGCUCAACUAUCGCAGUGCCCUUGAUACUGAUGGGCUUGAAUGGACUAGAGGUAGGCGGAAUGAGACAAGUAGCGGUGAAAUGCAUAGAUAUGUCUCAGAACACCGAUUGCGAAGGCAGCUUACUAUGGUCUUAUUGACGCUGAGGCACGAAAGCGUGGGGAUCAAACAGGAUUAGAUACCCUGGUAGUCCACGCCCUAAACGAUGAACACUCGCUGUUGGCGAUACACAGUCAGCGGCUAAGCGAAAGCGUUAAGUGUUCCACCUGGGGAGUACGCCUGCAAGGGUGAAACUCAAAGGAAUUGACGGGGGCCCGCACAAGCGGAGGAGCAUGUGGUUUAAUUCGAUGAUACGCGAGGAACCUUACCCGGGCUUGAAAGUUAGUGAAUGAUUUAGAGAUAGAUCAGUCCGCAAGGACACGAAACUAGGUGCUGCAUGGCUGUCGUCAGCUCGUGCCGUGAGGUGUUGGGUUAAGUCCCGCAACGAGCGCAACCCCUAUGUUUAGUUGCCAGCAUGUAAUGGUGGGGACUCUAAACAGACUGCCUGUGCAAACAGAGAGGAAGGAGGGGACGACGUCAAGUCAUCAUGGCCCUUACGUCCGGGGCUACACACGUGCUACAAUGGACGGUACAGAGGGCAGCUACAUAGCAAUAUGAUGCGAAUCUCACAAAGCCGUUCACAGUUCGGAUUGGGGUCUGCAACUCGACCCCAUGAAGUUGGAUUCGCUAGUAAUCGCGUAUCAGCAAUGACGCGGUGAAUACGUUCCCGGGCCUUGUACACACCGCCCGUCAAGCCAUGGAAGCUGGGGGUACCUAAAGUAUGUAACCGCAAGGAGCGUCCUAGGGUAAAACCGGUAACUGGGGCUAAGUCGUAACAAGGUAGCCGUA
This 1486-nucleotide ribosomal RNA is filed under the name uncultured bacterium. Its description in RNAcentral is "bacterial SSU rRNA". It matches the Rfam family "Bacterial small subunit ribosomal RNA". The record is from RNAcentral.